RNAcentral lists this ribosomal RNA (1371 nucleotides) under Campylobacter jejuni. RNAcentral describes it as "bacterial SSU rRNA". It matches the Rfam family "Bacterial small subunit ribosomal RNA". The record is from RNAcentral. Lineage: Bacteria; Pseudomonadati; Campylobacterota; Epsilonproteobacteria; Campylobacterales; Campylobacteraceae.
AGUCGAACGAUGAAGCUUUUAGCUUGCUAGAAGUGGAUUAGUGGCGCACGGGUGAGUAAGGUAUAGUUAAUCUGCCCUACACAAGAGGACAACAGUUGGAAACGACUGCUAAUACUCUAUACUCCUGCUUAACACAAGUUGAGUAGGGAAAGUUUUUCGGUGUAGGAUGAGACUAUAUAGUAUCAGCUAGUUGGUAAGGUAAUGGCUUACCAAGGCUAUGACGCUUAACUGGUCUGAGAGGAUGAUCAGUCACACUGGAACUGAGACACGGUCCAGACUCCUACGGGAGGCAGCAGUAGGGAAUAUUGCGCAAUGGGGGAAACCCUGACGCAGCAACGCCGCGUGGAGGAUGACACUUUUCGGAGCGUAAACUCCUUUUCUUAGGGAAGAAUUCUGACGGUACCUAAGGAAUAAGCACCGGCUAACUCCGUGCCAGCAGCCGCGGUAAUACGGAGGGUGCAAGCGUUACUCGGAAUCACUGGGCGUAAAGGGCGCGUAGGCGGAUUAUCAAGUCUCUUGUGAAAUCUAAUGGCUUAACCAUUAAACUGCUUGGGAAACUGAUAGUCUAGAGUGAGGGAGAGGCAGAUGGAAUUGGUGGUGUAGGGGUAAAAUCCGUAGAUAUCACCAAGAAUACCCAUUGCGAAGGCGAUCUGCUGGAACUCAACUGACGCUAAGGCGCGAAAGCGUGGGGAGCAAACAGGAUUAGAUACCCUGGUAGUCCACGCCCUAAACGAUGUACACUAGUUGUUGGGGUGCUAGUCAUCUCAGUAAUGCAGCUAACGCAUUAAGUGUACCGCCUGGGGAGUACGGUCGCAAGAUUAAAACUCAAAGGAAUAGACGGGGACCCGCACAAGCGGUGGAGCAUGUGGUUUAAUUCGAAGAUACGCGAAGAACCUUACCUGGGCUUGAUAUCCUAAGAACCUUUUAGAGAUAAGAGGGUGCUAGCUUGCUAGAACUUAGAGACAGGUGCUGCACGGCUGUCGUCAGCUCGUGUCGUGAGAUGUUGGGUUAAGUCCCGCAACGAGCGCAACCCACGUAUUUAGUUGCUAACGGUUCGGCCGAGCACUCUAAAUAGACUGCCUUCGUAAGGAGGAGGAAGGUGUGGACGACGUCAAGUCAUCAUGGCCCUUAUGCCCAGGGCGACACACGUGCUACAAUGGCAUAUACAAUGAGACGCAAUACCGCGAGGUGGAGCAAAUCUAUAAAAUAUGUCCCAGUUCGGAUUGUUCUCUGCAACUCGAGAGCAUGAAGCCGGAAUCGCUAGUAAUCGUAGAUCAGCCAUGCUACGGUGAAUACGUUCCCGGGUCUUGUACUCACCGCCCGUCACACCAUGGGAGUUGAUUUCACUCGAAUACGCGGAAUACUAAACUA